RNAcentral lists this ribosomal RNA (550 nucleotides) under uncultured bacterium. Its description in RNAcentral is "bacterial SSU rRNA". It matches the Rfam family "Bacterial small subunit ribosomal RNA", at positions 355 to 896 of the family's 1533-position model. The record is from RNAcentral.
UGGGGAAUCUUCCGCAAUGGACGAAAGUCUGACGGAGCAACGCCGCGUGAGUGAUGACGGCCUUCGGGUUGUAAAGCUCUGUUAAUCGGGACGAAAGGCCUUCUUGCGAAUAGUUAGAAGGAUUGACGGUACCGGAAUAGAAAGCCACGGCUAACUACGUGCCAGCAGCCGCGGUAAUACGUAGGUGGCAAGCGUUGUCCGGAAUUAUUGGGCGUAAAGCGCGCGCAGGCGGAUUGGUCAGUCUGUCUUAAAAGUUCGGGGCUUAACCCCGUGAUGGGAUGGAAACUGCCAAUCUAGAGUAUCGGAGAGGAAAGUGGAAUUCCUAGUGUAGCGGUGAAAUGCGUAGAUAUUAGGAAGAACACCAGUGGCGAAGGCGACUUUCUGGACGAAAACUGACGCUGAGGCGCGAAAGCCAGGGGAGCGAACGGGAUUAGAUACCCCGGUAGUCCUGGCCGUAAACGAUGGGUACUAGGUGUAGGAGGUAUCGACCCCUCCUGUGCCGGAGUUAACGCAAUAAGUACCCCGCCUGGGGGGUACGACCGCAAGGUUG